AUUGAACGCUGGCGGCAUGCUUUACACAUGCAAGUCGAACGGGCUUGGGGGCUUGCUCCCAAGUUAGUGGCGAACGGGUGAGUAAUACAUCGGAACGUACCGUGUAGUGGGGGUAACGUAGCGAAAGUUACGCUAAUACCGCAUACAAUCUACGGAUGAAAGCAGGGGACCUUCGGGCCUUGUGCUAUACGAGCGGCCGAUGUCUGAUUAGCUAGUUGGUGAGGUAAAGGCUCACCAAGGCGACGAUCAGUAGCGGGUCUGAGAGGAUGAUCCGCCACACUGGGACUGAGACACGGCCCAGACUCCUACGGGAGGCAGCAGUGGGGAAUUUUGGACAAUGGGCGAAAGCCUGAUCCAGCCAUGCCGCGUGUCUGAAGAAGGCCUUCGGUU
Molecule: ribosomal RNA, 390 nt
Filed under: uncultured bacterium
Lineage: Bacteria
Description: bacterial SSU rRNA
Rfam family: Bacterial small subunit ribosomal RNA
Source: RNAcentral